GUGCUGUGAGCUCGAUGAGUAGGGCGGGACACGUGGUAUCCUGUCUGAAUAUGGGGGGACCAUCCUCCAAGGCUAAAUACUCCUGACUGACCGAUAGUGAACCAGUACCGUGAGGGAAAGGCGAAAAGAACCCCGGCGAGGGGAGUGAAAAAGAACCUGAAACCGUGUACGUACAAGCAGUGGGAGCACAGGUUUACCUGUGUGACUGCGUACCUUUUGUAUAAUGGGUCAGCGACUUAUAUUCUGUAGCAAGGUUAACCGUAUAGGGGAGCCGGAGGGAAACCGAGUCUUAAUUGGGCGUUAAGUUGCAGGGUAUAGACCCGAAACCCGGUGAUCUAGCCAUGGGCAGGUUGAAGGUUGGGUAACACUAACUGGAGGACCGAACCGACUAAUGUUGAAAAAUUAGCGGAUGACCUGUGGCUGGGGGUGAAAGGCCAAUCAAACCGGGAGAUAGCUGGUUCUCCCCGAAAGCUAUUUAGGUAGCGCCUCGUGAAUUCAUCUCCGGGGGUAGAGCACUGUUUCGGCUAGGGGGCCAUCCCGGCUUACCAACCCGAUGCAAACUGCGAAUACCGGAGAAUGUUAUCACGGGAGACACACGGCGGGUGCUAACGUCCGUCGUGAAGAGGGAAACAACCCAGACCGCCAGCUAAGGUCCCAAAGUCAUGGUUAAGUGGGAAACGAUGUGGGAAGGCCCAGACAGCCAGGAUGUUGGCUUAGAAGCAGCCAUCAUUUAAAGAAAGCGUAAUAGCUCACUGGUCGAGUCGGCCUGCGCGGAAGAUGUAACGGGGCUAAACCAUGCACCGAAGCUGCGGCAGCGAACGUAUCACCCAAGACAACUUUACGGAGUUGACGAUUGACGGAGCGAAGCGACGUCAAAGCGUUCAUUAAAGUCGAGUUGGCUUAGGGAUACGUUCGUUGGGUAGGGGAGCGUUCUGUAAGCCUGUGAAGGUGUGUCGUGAGGCAUGCUGGAGGUAUCAGAAGUGCGAAUGCUGACAUAAGUAACGAUAAAGCGGGUGAAAAGCCCGCUCGCCGGAAGACCAAGGGUUCCUGUCCAACGUUAAUCGGGGCAGGGUGAGUCGACCCCUAAGGCGAGGCCGAAAGGCGUAGUCGAUGGGAAACGGGUUAAUAUUCCCGUACUUGGUGUUACUGCGAAGGGGGGACGGAGAAGGCUAUGUUGGCCGGGCGACGGUUGUCCCGGUUUAAGCGUGUAGGUGUGUGUUCCAGGUAAAUCCGGUUCACUUUAACACUGAGGCGUGACGACGAGGCACUACGGUGCUGAAGCAACAAAUGCCCUGCUUCCAGGAAAA
Molecule: ribosomal RNA, 1307 nt
Filed under: Salmonella enterica subsp. enterica serovar Typhimurium
Lineage: Bacteria; Pseudomonadati; Pseudomonadota; Gammaproteobacteria; Enterobacterales; Enterobacteriaceae
Description: partial 23S ribosomal RNA
Rfam family: Bacterial large subunit ribosomal RNA
Source: RNAcentral